This 490-nucleotide ribosomal RNA is filed under the name uncultured bacterium. RNAcentral's name for it is "bacterial SSU rRNA". It matches the Rfam family "Bacterial small subunit ribosomal RNA", at positions 32 to 518 of the family's 1533-position model. The record is from RNAcentral.
AACGCUGGCGGCGUGCCUAACACAUGCAAGUCGAACGGAGUUAUGUCACGAAGUUCUUCGGAGCGGACGACAUAGCUUAGUGGCGGACGGGUGAGUAACGCGUGAGCAACCUGCCUUUCAGAGGGGGACAACGGUUGGAAACGACCGCUAAUACCGCAUGAAAUGACUGGACCGCAUGAUCCGGUCAUCAAAGAUUUUAUCGCUGAAAGAUGGGCUCGCGUCUGAUUAGAUAGUUGGUGGGGUAACGGCCCACCAAGUCGACGAUCAGUAGCCGGACUGAGAGGUUGAACGGCCACAUUGGGACUGAGAUACGGCCCAGACUCCUACGGGAGGCAGCAGUGGGGAAUAUUGGGCAAUGGGGGGCCAACCCUGACCCAGCAACGCCGCGUGAAGGAAGAAGGCUUUCGGGUUGUAAACUUCUUUUACCGAGGACGAAGAACGUGACGGUACUCGGAGAAAAAGCCACGGCUAACUACGUGCCAGCAGCUGC